RNAcentral lists this transfer RNA (74 nucleotides) under Mycobacterium phage Lukilu. RNAcentral describes it as "tRNA-Leu". It matches the Rfam family "tRNA". From Rfam's summary of the family: Transfer RNA (tRNA) molecules are approximately 80 nucleotides in length. Their secondary structure includes four short double-helical elements and three loops (D, anti-codon, and T loops). Further hydrogen bonds mediate the characteristic L-shaped molecular structure. tRNAs have two regions of fundamental functional importance: the anti-codon, which is responsible for specific mRNA codon recognition, and the 3' end, to which the tRNAs corresponding amino acid is attached (by aminoacyl-tRNA synthetases). tRNAs cope with the degeneracy of the genetic code in two manners: having more than one tRNA (with a specific anti-codon) for a particular amino acid; and 'wobble' base-pairing, i.e. permitting non-standard base-pairing at the 3rd anti-codon position. Lineage: Duplodnaviria; Heunggongvirae; Uroviricota; Caudoviricetes. The record is from RNAcentral. RNAcentral also lists the same sequence under 17 other names.
GCCCCUGUAUCCCAACGGCAGAGGAAGCGGUCUGAGAGGCCGUUCAGUGAGGGUUCGAAUCCCUCUGGGGGCAC